AGAGUUUGAUCAUGGCUCAGGACGAACGCUGGCGGCGUGCUUAACACAUGCAAGUCGAACGGUAAGGCCCUUCGGGGUACACGAGUGGCGAACGGGUGAGUAACACGUGGGUAAUCUGCCCUGCACAUCGGGAUAAGCCUGGGAAACUGGGUCUAAUACCGAAUAGGACCACAGGACACAUGUCCUGUGGUGGAAAGCUUUUGCGGUGUGGGAUGGGCCCGCGGCCUAUCAGCUUGUUGGUGGGGUGAUGGCCUACCAAGGCGACGACGGGUAGCCGGCCUGAGAGGGUGUCCGGCCACACUGGGACUGAGAUACGGCCCAGACUCCUACGGGAGGCAGCAGUGGGGAAUAUUGCACAAUGGGCGAAAGCCUGAUGCAGCGACGCCGCGUGGGGGAUGACGGCCUUCGGGUUGUAAACCUCUUUCACCAUCGACGAAGGUCCGGGUUUUCUCGGGCUGACGGUAGGUGGAGAAGAAGCACCGGCCAACUACGUGCCAGCAGCCGCGGUAAUACGUAGGGUGCGAGCGUUGUCCGGAAUUACUGGGCGUAAAGAGCUCGUAGGUGGUUUGUCGCGUUGUUCGUGAAAUCUCACGGCUUAACUGUGAGCGUGCGGGCGAUACGGGCAGACUUGAGUACUGCAGGGGAGACUGGAAUUCCUGGUGUAGCGGUGGAAUGCGCAGAUAUCAGGAGGAACACCGGUGGCGAAGGCGGGUCUCUGGGCGGUAACUGACGCUGAGGAGCGAAAGCGUGGGGAGCGAACAGGAUUAGAUACCCUGGUAGUCC
This 783-nucleotide ribosomal RNA is filed under the name uncultured bacterium. Its description in RNAcentral is "bacterial SSU rRNA". It matches the Rfam family "Bacterial small subunit ribosomal RNA", at positions 8 to 796 of the family's 1533-position model. The record is from RNAcentral.